AAAAUCCUAAAACCUCAUCAAAACACCAAAUAAAUGGCCAUGAGAUUUAUCAUAGGUCAAACAAGUUCAAAGGACCUUGGAGAAAAAAUUUCAGAAUUUUUAAAGACUUAAAAGUAUUUUUAAACAAUAAAAAAAAUACAAAAUCAAUUAAAUCAUUAAAAAUAUUAAUAAUGAUCCAAAAAAUAAUUUUAAUUCAGAAUAUGAAAGAGGAAAUUUUUUAAAUUUUU
This 227-nucleotide long non-coding RNA is filed under the name Lathyrus oleraceus (garden pea). RNAcentral describes it as "Pisum sativum (pea) long non-coding RNA (PSAT_LNC006704)". Lineage: Eukaryota; Viridiplantae; Streptophyta; Magnoliopsida; Fabales; Fabaceae. The record is from RNAcentral.